CCAACACACAAAAACAGAAAGCACCAAGGGAGGGGGAUAUCUCCUCAAGCUGGCAUUUUUGCAGAUAUUCAUUUUUAUUCUUUUUUCCCCCACCCUCCCUCUUAAAAAAAAAUCCAUUAGACUAGGGAUCCAGACCAACCGGGUCCAGCCUGCAGGACCCCAGACAAUAACAUGUAGCCUCCGCGCGAAAUGCCCCUGACAGUCGCCCCUGAAAUCCCUUCUCUGGUCUUUGCACUCGAACUGAUGCAGCCUCCAAGCGCAGAAUCUGGACACUGAAUAUCCCCCCCUCCCCACCACCACCACCACCACCAUCCUUCACAAUGAACCGCCACCCCCUUAGCCACCACAAUCAACCUGCCUCUGGAAACAAUACCGCCCAAGACAUCCAGCACUUAUUGUAAGCUGGCAGAUUUGAGUUUCAAUGAAUGUACAACAUCAUUUGCCCUCUCACCUAAAAAUCAUCGUCACUUGAUGAAUUCAACAUUGCACCCAAUAACUGUGGACAUAAAUACUAACGGGAAUCGGAAAUUUUCGGGAAAAUAAGAAAAUGUGGUUAAGAGAUACGAGGGACUUCCCAAUGUCAAGAAUUGGUGGUGACCAAGGAUGGUUCUGUUAUUCUCAUUCCAAUGGCACAGUCGUGUCCGGUAACACACUGCAACAUUGAUGCAUGACUUUGUAGGCAAAUGAGAAGACGUCACUCAUGGUUUAUUAAAAAUUAAUUUGACAAUAUCAA
Molecule: long non-coding RNA, 733 nt
Organism: Amblyraja radiata (thorny skate)
Lineage: Eukaryota; Metazoa; Chordata; Chondrichthyes; Rajiformes; Rajidae
Exons: 2
Source: RefSeq, a predicted model, not a curated record